GAGAUGAUGGCUUAGCAGUUAAGAGCACUGGCUGCUCUUCCAGAGGACCUGGGUUCAAGUCCCAGCAAUCACA
This is a non-coding RNA of Rattus norvegicus (Norway rat), 73 nucleotides long. The record is from Rfam. Lineage: Eukaryota; Metazoa; Chordata; Mammalia; Rodentia; Muridae.